This is a non-coding RNA of Cherax quadricarinatus, 2525 nucleotides long. Lineage: Eukaryota; Metazoa; Arthropoda; Malacostraca; Decapoda; Parastacidae. The record is from RefSeq and is a predicted model, not a curated record.
UAUAUUGCAGGCGAAGAAAAAGAAGAACAGUUGCCGUGUGAUUUUGAAGGUGGCACUGCUAUUAUUGGUCCAGUUGAAGACGCAGCUGCAACUGACUCUACUUCCAACAUCAAUGUUUGGACUGGCUUACAGUGCUAUAUAUAGCAACACUGAUUGCGAUGAUGAUAUUGAAAACCUGGAUAUAAGGAAGGAAGAUGAUAAUUAUUCUCAUCUUUCUCACUCUCCUGGGGUACAAUGUGAUAUUUGGAAAGAAGAAUUCUACGACGAACAAGAAAUUAUAGAAAAUGUAGAUACGAGCUUGUAUAAUUUGGAACGUCAAAUUGUGUUAACUAAUUCUCAUGAAGAUAAUAAAGGAAGGUCACCAAAAAGUGGUGAAGUGAUGAUAGUUGAGCAGUUAUCAUGUGAUGAGGAACUUUCCAAUCCAGUUGAAGAGGAACUUUCCAGUCCAGUUAAAGCAGAACUUUCCAGUCCAGUAAAAGUGGAAUUUGAUACAUUUCUGCAGGACACUGCUCCCACCAUCACUGUUUGGACUGGCUUACAGUGCAGCAGUAGUGAUGACAACUGAUGGUGAUGUUGGAAAAGUGAAAAUUACCCACUCUCUCUCCCUUUCCUGAGGCAGAAUGUGAGUUUAUAAGAAGAAAUUAAAAAAAAUGUCUAUGGGUUGGAACGAAUUAAAACACAAACCUGGUUUUUUUUAAAUUCUCACGAAUGUUAAGAAAAGUCAGCCAAUAAAGUGGAUAACACAGUUUUCCCUGCAAAAUCCCUGCUCCAGGCACCACAAGUCAUCAAACAACGCAUCAAAUUCCUCGCAGUCUCCAAGUGGGGCUGAGAUUUUCCAUCGGCCUGUAGUUUGGCCCAUGUAUGAACCAGGUCAUGAGUGGGUCCCAACUUCUACAUCAUUCCACAUCUGACUCUUAGCUCUACAAUGCCUCUCAGGAAUUGCAAAAUAUUUAUUUUACUCUGCAAAGGGUACUCGGAUAUAUGGUAAUCCUCAAGUUGGUCUCAGUAACUGUGAACCUUUGAACAAGUCAUGGUGGAUAUUAACAAGCAGAUGAGAGAAGAUACAGGUGCUCCUCAACUUACAAUGGUUUAACUUAGGGUAUUUCAACUUUACGAUGGUGCGAAAGCAAUAACUUUGGAGACGGAACUUAAGAUAAUUUCCCAGUAUGAAGGCGGCAAGUCCCUAACUUGUAUUCAUUUACAUGUAUUUACUUUUCAAAACUGGUAUUUAGUUGCAGUAAUUAUUUAAUUACUUAUUCAUUGACAGUAGUUAUUUAGUUGAUUACUUAGCAUAUACAGUGGACCCCCGCAUAACGAUCACCUCCGAAUGCGACCAAUUAUGUAAGCGUAUUUAUGUAAGUGCGUUUGUAAGUGUAUGUUUGGGGAUCUGAAAUGGACUAAUCUACUUCACAAUAUUCCUUAUGGGAACAAAUUCGGUCAGUACUGGCACCUGAACAUACUUCUGGAGUGAAAAAAUAUCAUUAACCGGGGGUCCACUGUAUUCAUAUUAAACUUCCAAUGGGUUCAUUGGAGCGUAACCCCUUUGUAAGUUGAAGAACACCUGUAUAUUUUUUUUCAACACAGGUAAGGUGACCUAAAUAAGAAGAAGUACUUUCACCAUCACUCACUCCAUCAGUCUUGCCAGAGGUGUACUGGUACUUCAGUUCUAAACUGCAAAUAUCAAUGCCCCUCCUUCAGAGUGCCAGCACUGUACUUCCCACCUCCGGGACUCGAGUCUGGCUUGCUAGUUUCCCUGAAUCCCUUCAUAAAUGUUACAAUUAUUACCAGAUCAUUAAUUUCUAAAAAGUAAACAUUCUCUGUUUCAUACAUUUUUUUUUGUAAAUGGUAUUAAUAAAGAAGGUAAGUAUUCUCUAUGAUAUAGUAAGAGUCAUCAUUACAAUAUUAGCCCUUAAACUGUCCAAACGUAGAUCUAUGUUCAUGUGUAGCGCUCUGACCUUUAUUUUCUCCAUUUGAAAGCAUGUAAAAAAAAAAACAUAGCUCUACAUUCGGAGCUCUACGUAGCUGAACGUAGAUCUACAUUAAGACAGUUUAUGGGUUAAGAGAGACCUCUGAGCAUAUGCUGCCUGUCGCUUGUUCAACCCUCUUUCCUGUUUCCUUUACUCCUAAAUCAAUUGAUGAGCUAGGAUACAAGCAUACGUAUAUUUUGUAUUUUCCAUCAUAUAAGGUGUGUCUUUUUUUUCUCCACAAAAAGUCUUGAAAAAUCAGCCUACACCUUGUAUGCUCAAGGUCAGAGUCAAGGGCAGGUUUUGGGUUACGCUUUAGCGUAAAGUAAGAGGGUAAUUAGCCCUUGAUAUUACUGAUUUACCAUUAUGAUACUUCUGUCGUGUCCCUUAUAUACCGGAAAAUAUGGUACUUAUUGAGGGCUCAAUGAUUCUCAUUACUUUUAUGGCCCAACAUGGCAUUUUUAGUUAUUAGCAUUGAAAAUGUUUACUGUACAAUAUUCACCUAGUCCAUCAGUAUAUAUAUUCUUCUAUGCUUUUAUAUAAAUAAAAAAUGUACAACUU